AAUCCAGUUGAUCCUGCUGGCGGCUGCGGCUCUCUGGUUUGCGUUUAGACAUGCAAGUCUUUCGAGAGAAGGCGAACUGCUCAGUAACACGUAGCUAACCUACCCUUAAGUCAAGGAUACCCUCGGGAAACUGAGGCUAAAACUUGAUAGGGAUAAAACCCUGGAAUGAUUUUAUCCUGAAACUAGAGCUUAAGGAUGGGGCUGCGGCGGAUUAGGUUGUUGGCGGAGUAAUAGCCCACCAAGCCUGUGAUCUGUAAGGGCUCUUAGCGGAGAGGCCCUGAGAGGGAAUCUGAGACACUAUUCCCAGCCCUACGGGGUGCAGCAGUUAGGAAUAUUCUGCAAUGCGCGAAAGCGUGACAGAUUGA
This 365-nucleotide ribosomal RNA is filed under the name Nanobdellota archaeon. RNAcentral's name for it is "bacterial SSU rRNA". It matches the Rfam family "Archaeal small subunit ribosomal RNA", at positions 1 to 378 of the family's 1478-position model. Lineage: Archaea; Nanobdellati; Nanobdellota. The record is from RNAcentral.